AUCAGUGAAACUGAUCUCUCCGUGAAGAAGCGGGGAUAUUUACAUAAGACGAGAAGACCCCAUGGAGCUUUAAACCCGAUGUCACCCAUUUUCCUCUACACCCUAAUAUUCAAUUUGGCCCUGCCCUGNCGGUUUUAGGUUGGGGUGACCACGGAGUAUAAUAUACCCUCCAUGAAAAAGGGAGUAAUAAUCCUUAUUAGAGAACAACACUUCUAAAAAUUAAAACAUUAAUUUAUAAUGAUCCGAUAUUCGAUCAACGAACCAAGUUACCCUGGGGAUAACAGCGCANUCUGCCUCAAGAGCCCCUAUCGACAGGCGGGUUUACGACCUCGAUGUUGGAUCAGGGCAUCCCAGUGGUGCAGCA
This 364-nucleotide ribosomal RNA is filed under the name Boophis marojezensis. RNAcentral describes it as "partial 16S ribosomal RNA". It matches the Rfam family "Bacterial large subunit ribosomal RNA", at positions 2032 to 2560 of the family's 2925-position model. Lineage: Eukaryota; Metazoa; Chordata; Amphibia; Anura; Mantellidae. The record is from RNAcentral.